This 253-nucleotide ribosomal RNA is filed under the name uncultured bacterium. Its description in RNAcentral is "partial 16S ribosomal RNA". It matches the Rfam family "Bacterial small subunit ribosomal RNA", at positions 524 to 776 of the family's 1533-position model. The record is from RNAcentral.
UACGUAGGGGGCAAGCGUUGUCCGGAAUCAUUGGGCGUAAAGCGCGUGUAGGCGGCCCGAUAAGUCCGCUGUGAAAGUCCAGGGCUCAACCCUGGAAUGCCGGUGGAUACUGUCGGGCUCGAGUCCGGAAGAGGCGAGUGGAAUUCCUGGUGUAGCGGUGAAAUGCGCAGAUAUCAGGAGGAACACCAAUGGCGAAGGCAGGUCUCUGGGCUGACACUGACGCUCAUGCACGAAAGCGUGGGGAGCAAACAGG